Molecule: ribosomal RNA, 269 nt
Filed under: uncultured bacterium
Lineage: Bacteria
Description: partial 16S ribosomal RNA
Rfam family: Bacterial small subunit ribosomal RNA
Source: RNAcentral
AGGAUGGCGACCGGCGCACGGGUGAGUAACACGUAUCCAACCUGCCGAUAACUCGGGGAUAGCCUUUCGAAAGAAAGAUUAAUACCCGAUGGCAUAAUAGAACCGCAUGGUUUGAUUAUUAAAGAAUUUCGGUUAUCGAUGGGGAUGCGUUCCAUUAGGUUGUUGGCGGGGUAACGGCCCACCAAGCCUUCGAUGGAUAGGGGUUCUGAGAGGAAGGUCCCCCACAUUGGAACUGAGACACGGUCCAAACUCCUACGGGAGGCAGCAUG